This is a small nucleolar RNA of Cryptomeria japonica (Japanese cedar), 122 nucleotides long. RefSeq annotates it as small nucleolar RNA Z278. Lineage: Eukaryota; Viridiplantae; Streptophyta; Pinopsida; Cupressales; Cupressaceae. The transcript has a single exon. The record is from RefSeq and is a predicted model, not a curated record.
GCUGAUGAUGAAAUGAGCCCAAUUAAUGGAGUUCCAGGAGGUUCCAAGUCCUUGAUUAUCAAGGAGAACCUACUUGGAGUUGCCCCUGCAUUUCAAUGACAAUUCUGGGUUCUCACUGAGGC